UUAAAAGUAGUACACUAUUAGCAAAACCUUACACUCAAGAAGCAAAACAUCAGCCCAUAUUUGCACAACUAUAAGCACAUUGUCAACCUCACACUUGUUGCAAAACUCUACACACAGUGAUUUGCAAAACACUAAACACACUUAACAUACAUUACACACAAAAAUCUAUCAUGAAGUCACGUCCUUGCAAUACCAAAGCACUGACUGUCAAAAUACCACACCGUCCAACCAAUUGGUUCAACACAGUCAUCAGGUGUGCAAACACUCGUUUGCUUAAUUGUAGACACACCAAUCAGGUGUAUAAGCACUAUAAAAAGCACCAGGUGAGUUCAUCGGUCUUCAAGCACAAUGGAAAGAGUCAGAGAAAGAAUAAGACGACGACGAGGACGACGAGGACGAGGAAGAGGAAGACAAGAAGGUGCUCAAAGAGGACCGAAUCUGACAAAUGAGAUCCACGCAACACUGGUUGACCAUGUUGUCAACCACGGCCUGACGCUGAGGGAGGCUGGACUGCGAGUACAGCCAAAUUUAAGCCGAUAUGCAGUGUCAAGUGUGAUGAGAACAUUUCGACUGGAAAAUAGGAUUGAGGGUCAGGGACGACAAGGGGGAAGGCCUCCUAUGUUCACAGAACAGCAAGAGAGGGAGAUAGCAUUGUUGGCCAAAACCAUGUUUACUAUAACACUCACAGCUCCAAGCUAACAUUGUCAAUAACCACGCCAUUUUCAACGAUAUCCAACAGGUAUCAACAUCAACACUGGCACGCAUUCUAAAAAGAAAAACAUAUUCAAAUGAAGCAAAUUUAUCGAGUGCCUUUCGAGCGCAAUUCCGAAAGUGUGAAACGACUGCGGCAUGAUUAUGCAGAGAGUUUUACGAAUGGAUGGAGAGGAGAUCCAGCAUGAGUUCAUUUACGUAGAUGAGGCUGGUUUCAAGCUGACGAGAACACGAUGUCUAGUUAUUUUGUUUAUUUUUGGGGGGGAUUUUACAAUACGUAAAGUGACGUUUGGUUACAGUAUUAUGAAUCUCCAUGUCAACAUUUUGGGCGUGUUGAGAAAUAAAUGAGUUUCUUCAGUCUGCAA
Long non-coding RNA from Salvelinus fontinalis (brook trout), 1076 nucleotides. RefSeq lists it as uncharacterized. The transcript has 3 exons. The record is from RefSeq and is a predicted model, not a curated record. Lineage: Eukaryota; Metazoa; Chordata; Actinopteri; Salmoniformes; Salmonidae.